GCAUAAGCUGAAGCUAGCUAGCAGUGCAAUGCAUAAAAUGUGGUGAGUAGUUGACUCAGAGAGAGAAAGACAUUAGUUGAAAAGUUUUAAACAAAUUAAUUUAUUAAAAAAUGAAGGAGAAGCAAGAGAGAGAGAAAGAUUUUAUCAUUUGUUUUCACUUUCAGUUUCACUUACUUAGCUAGCAAAUACAGCUGGCAAGUUUAGUUACUCAAACACCCGGCUCAAACAGAGGGAUGCUAUGUUAACUAGCUGACUAUGACUAUCCAACACAACACUGAAACUCUUCCAAGUCAAGAGAGACACUACCAUUUCCGGUAUAGCAUUUCCCACAGGCAGCAGACUGCGUCUAAGAAGGGUGGCACUCGGCAGUAAUCCUGAGGUGCUUGCUACCGGCAUUGGCAGCUUCUCACAGGCCCAAAGGCCAAACUGAGAGAGCUUAAGAUGUGCUCUCAGGACCAACAGCUUGCCCAGACCCUGCUGGGACUCAUCAAUGAUAUCCAGAGGCGGGAGAGAAUGUCUGGGGCUCUGGAGCCAGAGGGGGAUGAACCCCACUAACCAUCCCCAACCAGUACACCUCCCUUGGGGGAAACAGAGAGUGAGGGUGGGGGUAUGUUGCUGGAAGUUCAUGGAACCCUGUCUGAACCCAUGACCAGACUGUCCUUUGGCAUUUCUAAGACAGAUACGGGGAAGUGCUAUACAAAAGAG
This 705-nucleotide long non-coding RNA is filed under the name Salmo salar (Atlantic salmon). Its description in RNAcentral is "lncRNA (ENSSSAG00000114263.1)". The record is from RNAcentral. Lineage: Eukaryota; Metazoa; Chordata; Actinopteri; Salmoniformes; Salmonidae.